GUUUCUGCUGGAAGGGACAAACUGGGACUUGAUAUCCACUACAUAAAUGCCUUCAAAGGUCGGGGCAUUUUCACGACUGUUCCAUUCCAAAAAGGAGACUUCCUUUUGGAAUACAGAGGUAAACUCAUAACAAAAGAAGAAUGUGAGCGGAGACACAGAGUUUAUCAUGACAGCCUGAAGGUGUUCAUGUUUGAAUUCAAGUUUGAUGGAAAACUCUGGUGUGUGGAUGCAUCUCAAGAAGAUGGGUCAUUAGGCAGACUUGUCAACGACAACCACAUCAGUCCAAGUGCUAAGAUGAAAAUAUUAAAUAUCAAUGGAAAGCCCCAUCUAUGCUUAUUUGCAAGCAGAGACAUAAGUCCAGGCGAAGAAAUAGACUAUAAUUAUGGUGACUCG
Astatotilapia calliptera (eastern happy) is the source of this 393-nucleotide long non-coding RNA. The record is from Ensembl. NCBI's taxonomy places the organism in Eukaryota, Metazoa, Chordata, Actinopteri, Cichliformes, Cichlidae.